GACGAACUCUGGCGGCGUGCUUACACAUGCAAGUCGAACGGUAAGGCUCCAGCUUGCUGGGGUACACGAGUGGCGAACGGGUGAGUAACACGUGGGUGACCUGCCCUGCACUUCGGGAUAAGCCUGGGAAACUGGGUCUAAUACCGGAUAGGACCGCACCGUGAGGGUGUGGUGGAAAGUUUUUUCGGUGUGGGAUGGGCCCGCGGCCUAUCAGCUUGUUGGUGGGGUAAUGGCCUACCAAGGCGGCGACGGGUAGCCGGCCUGAGAGGGUGGACGGCCACAUUGGGACUGAGACACGGCCCAGACUCCUACGGGAGGCAGCAGUGGGGAAUAUUGCACAAUGGGCGGAAGCCUGAUGCAGCGACGCCGCGUGGGGGAUGACGGCCUUCGGGUUGUAAACUCCUUUCACCAUCGACGAAGGGUUUCUGACGGUAGAUGGAGAAGAAGCACCGGCUAACUACGUGCCAGCAGCCGCGGUAAUACGUAGGGUGCGAGCGUUGUCCGGAAUUACUGGGCGUAAAGAGCUCGUAGGUGGUUUAUCGCGUCGUCUGUGAAAUUCCGGGGCUUAACUCCGGGCGUGCAGGCGAUACGGGCAUAACUUGAGUACUGUAGGGGAGACUGGAAUUCCUGGUGUAGCGGUGAAAUGCGCAGAUAUCAGGAGGAACACCGGUGGCGAAGGCGGGUCUCUGGGCAGUAACUGACGCUGAGGAGCGAAAGCAUGGGGAGCGAACAGGAUUAGAUACCCUGGUAGUCCAUGCCGUAAACGGUGGGCGCUAGGUGUGGGUUUCCUUCCACGGGAUCCGUGCCGUAGCUAACGCGUUAAGCGCCCCGCCUGGGGAGUACGGCCGCAAGGCUAAAACUCAAAGGAAUUGACGGGGGCCCGCACAAGCGGCGGAGCAUGUGGAUUAAUUCGAUGCAACGCGAAGAACCUUACCUGGGCUUGACAUAUACAGGAUCGCGCCAGAGAUGGUGUUUCCCUUGUGGCUUGUAUACAGGUGGUGCAUGGUUGUCGUCAGCUCGUGUCGUGAGAUGUUGGGUUAAGUCCCGCAACGAGCGCAACCCUUGUCUUAUGUUGCCAGCACGUUGUGGUGGGGACUCGUAAGAAACUGCCGGGGUUAACUCGGAGGAAGGUGGGGAUGACGUCAAAUCAUCAUGCCCCUUAUGUCCAGGGCUUCACACAUGCUACAAUGGUCGGUACAGUGGGUUGCCAGUCCGUGAGGGCGAGCUAAUCCCGCAAAGCCGGUCUCAGUUCGGAUCGGGGUCUGCAACUCGACCCCGUGAAGUCGGAGUCGCUAGUAAUCGCAGAUCAGCAACGCUGCGGUGAAUACGUUCCCGGGCCU
RNAcentral lists this ribosomal RNA (1340 nucleotides) under uncultured bacterium. Its description in RNAcentral is "partial 16S ribosomal RNA". It matches the Rfam family "Bacterial small subunit ribosomal RNA", at positions 28 to 1381 of the family's 1533-position model. The record is from RNAcentral.